RNAcentral lists this ribosomal RNA (1369 nucleotides) under Bifidobacterium thermophilum DSM 20210. RNAcentral describes it as "bacterial LSU rRNA". It matches the Rfam family "Bacterial large subunit ribosomal RNA", at positions 1577 to 2925 of the family's 2925-position model. The record is from RNAcentral. Lineage: Bacteria; Bacillati; Actinomycetota; Actinomycetes; Bifidobacteriales; Bifidobacteriaceae.
UUUUUGGGGCGAAUCCGGUGAUCCCUUCUGCCGAGAAAAGCUUCGGCGCCAGGGCCCUAUGCCGCCCGUACCCGAAACCGACACUGGUGGUCUGGUAGAGUAUACCAAGGCGAUCGAGCGAAUCCUGGUCAAGGAACUCGGCAAACCACUCCCGUGCCUUCGGUAUAAGGGAGACCCCUUGGGGUGAUGUCCUUCGCGGGCGGAGCCUUGGGGGGUGGCACAGGCCAGGGGGUAGCGACUGUUUACCAAAAACACAGGUGCAUGCGAAGGCGCAAGCCGCUGUAUAUGCACUGACGCCUGCCCGGUGCCGGAAGGUUAAGAGGAUCCGUCAGCCCUUUCGGGUGAAGCGGUGAAUUCAAGCCCCGGUAAACGGCGGUGGUAACUAUAACCAUCCUAAGGUAGCGAAAUUCCUUGUCGGGCAAGUUCCGACCUGCACGAAUGGCGUAACGACUUCCCCGCUGUCUCGACCAGGAGCUCGGCGAAAUUGCAGUACGAGUAAAGAUGCUCGUUAAGCGCAGAAGGACGAAAAGACCCCGGGACCUUUACUAUACCUUGGUAUUGUCGUCAGGUCUGGAUUGUGUAGCAUAGGCGGGAGGCUGUGAGCCGCGGGCGCCAGCCCGCGGGGAGCCGGAAGGUGAAAUACCGCUCUGUCCACACCUGGCGUCUAACCUCGAAGAGUCAUCCUCUUCAGGGACAGUGCCUGGCGGGUAGUUCAACUGGGGCGGUUGCCUCCCAAAGAGUAACGGAGGCGCUCAAAGGUCCCCUCAGCCCGGUUGGCAACCGGGUGUCGAGUGCAAUCGCACAAGGGGGCUUGACUGCGAGACCGGCGGGUCGAGCAGGGACGAAAGUCGGAGAUAGUGAUCCGGUGCCGGCGCACGGGCGCGGCAUCGCUCAACGGAUAAAAGGUACCCCGGGGAUAACAGGCUGAUCAUUCCCAAGAGUCCAUAUCGACGGGAUGGUUUGGCACCUCGAUGUCGGCUCGUCGCAUCCUGGGGCUGGAGCAGGUCCCAAGGGUUCGGCUGUUCGCCGAUCAAAGCGGCACGCGAGCUGGGUUCAGAACGUCGUGAGACAGUUUGGUCUCUAUCCUCUGCGCUCGUUGGAAUCCUGAGGAGGCCUGCCCAUAGUACGAGAGGACCUGGGUGGACGAACCUCUGGUAUGCCGGUCGUCACGCCAGUGGCGCGGCCGGUUGGCUACGUUCGGGAGGGAUAACCGCUGAAAGCAUCUAAGCGGGAAGCCUGCUCCGAGAUCAGGAUUCCGUGACCCCCCUGGGGGUCUGGAGACUCCAUGGAGAACACGUGGUUGAUAGGCCGGACGUGGAAGCCCCGCGAGGGGUGGAGCCGACCGGUACUAACAGUCGAACGGCAACAC